GGACCUGACUGCUAUCGGAUUGAUACUAAGCCAUGCGAGUCAUUGUAGCAAUACAAGGCAUACGGCUCAGUAACGCGUAGUCAACCUAACCUAUGGACGGGAAUAACCUCGGGAAACUGAGAAUAAUGCCCGAUAGAACAUUAUGCCUGGAAUGGUUUAUGUUCCAAAUGAUUUAUCGCCGUAGGAUGGGACUGCGGCCUAUCAGUUUGUUGGUGAGGUAAUGGCCCACCAAGACUAUUGCAGGUACGGGCUCUGAGAGGAGUAGCCCGGAGAUGGGUACUGAGACACGGACCCAGGCCCUAUGGGGCGCAGCAGGCGAGAAAACUUUGCAAUGUGCGAAAGCACGACAAGGUUAAUCCGAGUGGUUUCUGCUAAAGAAACCUUUUGUCAGUCCUAGAAACACUGAUGAAUAAGGGGUGGGCAAGUUCUGGUGU
Molecule: ribosomal RNA, 434 nt
Filed under: uncultured archaeon
Lineage: Archaea
Description: bacterial SSU rRNA
Rfam family: Archaeal small subunit ribosomal RNA
Source: RNAcentral